This is a non-coding RNA of Agelaius phoeniceus (red-winged blackbird), 841 nucleotides long. The record is from RefSeq and is a predicted model, not a curated record. NCBI's taxonomy places the organism in Eukaryota, Metazoa, Chordata, Aves, Passeriformes, Icteridae.
UUUUCUCAAGAAGUGUGUUAAAUACAGUUUUAGGUUAUUAACAAUGUUAUAAUAGAAACUAUGCUAUGUAAUACACUUUUUUUAUAGCAAGGACUCAGCCUGUCAGAGCCAGUAUGAGACUCCAGCAGGCACUAAAGGUCCUCUCAAACCCUUCAUCCACUGUGAAAAAUGAGUAUUUUAUGAUUGGCUUUUCAUGCAUAUUAAAAGGAAUAUUAUAUUUUAAAUAUUAUAUUUAUUAAUUUAUAUAUAUUAUAUUAUGUUAGGAAGUUGUGCUGUAUUAGUUUUCUCAAGUAGUGUGUUAAAUACAGUUUUAGGUGAUAACACAAUGUUAAAAUAGAAACUAUGCUAUGUAAGAUGGUUUUUUAAAGAAAGGACUUGCAGUGAGACAGCAGCCACGGGACAUCUGAAUCUUUCAGAGAAAGAGAAUUUAUUCUCUCUUAUCAGAAGAAAGGAACAACUUCCCACCUUGCUCAGCCCUGAAGGUGCUGUCAGGAUUCAGAGGAAGAAGCUGACCCUGCCCAGACAGAAUUCUGUGUUGGAAUGGAAUUUAUGCAUCAUGGAUGAGGUGUAUGAAUAUGCAACAGAAAACAAGCAAGCUCUCUGAAGAAGCCCUUUUCUUUUUUUUGCUUUAUGGAGAGAGACUGGCAGCUCUAUGGAGAGACUGCAAUGCCAACAAAUUCUGUGGCCAGGCCAAAGCUAAUUAAUCUUCUGCUGCAGCUGUUGAAGAUGAUGGAGAAUGCAUCAGUGCAAUGCCCAGGAAACAUUUGUAAACAUGGCAAACAUGUGUUACUGCUUUUUGAUCUUCUAAAAUUACAGUGAAUAAAAUAACAAUCAAACACCA